This 852-nucleotide long non-coding RNA is filed under the name Pan troglodytes (chimpanzee). Its description in RNAcentral is "long non-coding RNA NONPTRT009815". The record is from RNAcentral. Lineage: Eukaryota; Metazoa; Chordata; Mammalia; Primates; Hominidae.
AAAAUCCUUUGGAUCAGUGAUGAUGGCUGCACCACUAAUGAAAAUGCAGGUCCUGAAUUUUCGUGAAGCAGCCCACAGGGUUACAGGCCAAUGAUUCGAACGCUGAGGUGAACACUUAGUACUCACAUUUGAGCUUCAAAAGAAAAAUAAAGCAGAGGACAAACGCCUGUCACAGCGUGGCAGCCUGGUUCAUUUGGUAACAGAAGAAGUCUCACACAUCGGCUGAGCCCACCGGAGAGAAGCACACAGGCCAGCUUCCUUCUGAACACAGCCGGGCACCUGUUCAAAAGCCUCUCUGGUGGUGGCGGUGGACCCCAAAACCCACGGGUUGGAAGAGCCUUUGGGAAAGCAAAUUGAUACCCUGAUUGCAGUCCUUGAAGAAAUCACUUAGGGUUAGUUUAAUAAACGAACAUUAAAAAAUCUUCCAAAAAUUGCAUUCAAAUGUAUUUUACACUUUAGGCAGUUCUUAAGAAGGGAGAGUGCGGUUUCUUGACACUUAACAUUUAAAGGUUUUAUUGGCCACAUUAAUCUUCCUCACAAAAGUUUUAAGUUAUCUAUAAGUUCUUAGAAUGUCAAAGAAGAGAAGAAAAACUGACUAACUUUAAGGGGCGGUGGAAGAAGCAGCAACUUGGCAAUAAUUCUGCAGCCGACUUCGCGUGUUCAGGCAUCCUUUUUCUCCAGUAAAAUUUUGUGCAACUCGUCUGCGUCCUCGCUGGUUUUUACCCGAAUCAACAUGGUGACUGGCAUGGUGGCAUUCUUCUCGUCAAUUGGUGGAUUUGGAACACAGACGAUAAGAACGUUAUUCUUCCCUGUUCGCGUACAUGGCAUAUUGGGUGGAAUCAGAACGUUCAG